This 408-nucleotide ribosomal RNA is filed under the name uncultured bacterium. RNAcentral's name for it is "bacterial SSU rRNA". It matches the Rfam family "Bacterial small subunit ribosomal RNA", at positions 29 to 419 of the family's 1533-position model. The record is from RNAcentral.
AGCGAACGCUGGCGGCGUGCUUAACACAUGCAAGUCGAGCGAGAAAGGGGGCUUCGGCCCCUGAGUACAGCGGCGAACGGGUGAGUAAUACAUGAGCAAUCUAUCCUUGAGGCGGGAAUAACCCAGCGAAAGUUGGGCUAAUACCGGAUGAGACCACAGGAGGAAACUCCAAGGGUCAAAGGCAGCUUUCUUUUGGGAGCGGCCCUUCGAAGAGGAGCUCAUGUCCUANCAGCUAGUUGGUAGGGUAACGGCCUACCAAGGCGAAGACGGGUAGCUGGGUCUUAGAGGAUGAUCAGCCACACGGGGACUGAGACACGGCCCCGACUCCUACGGGAGGCAGCAGUGGGGAAUAUUGGGCAAUGGGCGAAAGCCUGACCCAGCGACGCCGCGUGGGUGAUGAAGGCCUUC